AGACAUUAAGCGUGCACGGUGGAUGCCUUGGCCUAGGACGGCUAAGAAGGACGCGACUAACCUGCGAAAAGCUUCGGGGAGGCGGUUUGUAGCCUUUGAUCCGGAGAUAUCCGAAUGAGGAAACUCAUCCUGUUUUUAACGGGAUAUCACGACGGUAACACGUCGGGAAGCGAACCCGGGGAAGUGAAACAUCUCAGUACCCGGAGGAAAAGAGAACAAUAUGAGUUGCGUUCCGUCCUGACGAAAUUUAUUUCGAACGGAUGGAACGCAACUCUCGUGAUUCCCCUAGUAGCGGCGAGCGAAAAGGGGGAAGCCCAAACUGGGACCUGAAUUUAAGGUUCGACCUUAAUGAAUAAUUCACAAGGUCGAACCUUGGCUUCAGGUUCCAGGGUUGUAAGAUGUGAACACCCAAUUUAUUGGAAAAGAGUUACAAAAUGUCUGUAUAGCGGAAGCUGCUGGGAAGCAGCGCCCCAGAGGGUAAUGGCCCCGUACGCGAAAUACAUGAUGACUCUUGUUUAUAUUCUUGAGUAACUCGAGACACGAAUAGCUCGAGUGAAUCUGCCGGAACUAACCGGUAAGGCUGAAUACGUCCUAUGACCGAUAGUGAACUAGUACCGUGAGGGAAAGGUGAAAAGAACCCCGAGAGGGGAAUGAAAUAGACCUGAAACCGUGUACGUACAAGGGGUCGGAGUGGAUUCCCGCAAGGGUUUACCAUGACGGCAUGCCUAUUGAAGAAUGAGCCGGCGAGUGUAUAUAUCUUGCAUAGCUAAGCCCUUCCGGGGCGGAGCUUCAGGGAAACCGAGCGUGAAUAGCGCUACAAGUAGGAUAUAUACGACCCGAAGCCAGAUGAGCUUGCCAUGAGCAGGGUGAAGUCCGUCGAAAGACGAAUGGAGGCCCGAACCCGUAGGUCGUUCAACGCCUUGGGAUGACUUGUGGUAAGGAGUGAAAAGCUAAUCGAAUCUGGGAAUAGCUGGUUCUCUCCGAAACAGCUUUUGGGCUGGCGUUGCGAAAGGUGUGCAUGGGGGUAGAGCACUGGAAGGGACCAACAGGGAGAAAUCUCGUGGUUCCUAUCAAACUCCGAAUACCAUGCGCUCGCGCAGCAGUUAGAAGGUGGGGGCGAAGCUCCAUCGAUCGAGAGGGGAAGAGCCCUGAUCGCCAAUUAAGGCCCCAAAAUCGACAUUCAGUACAUCAACAAGGAAGUGAGGGUCCACUGACAGUGAGGAUGUUGGCUUAGAAGCAGCCACCAUUUAAAGAAAGCGUAACAGCUCACUCAUCGAGGAUCCUUGCGCCAAAGAUGAUCGGGGUUAAAUGUCGUGCCGAAAUUGCGGGUUCCGGAACAUCAGUUUGGAUUUAAAGGUCUGACUUUUUUGAAUUCUUAAAGUAAGACUUUGGAAUUCAAUCCAAACUGAUGUUCCGGAGCGGUAGGAGAGCGUUCCGUUCGCGCUGAAGCUUAAGGGGUAACCCAAGGUGGAGCGUACGGAAGUGAGAAUGCCGGUACAAGUAACCACAAUGCAGGUGAGAACCCUGCACGUCGAAAGACCAAGGUUUCCUCAGCUAUGGUGAUCAACUGAGGGUUAGUCGGGCCUAAGGGGAUGGCGAAAGCCGCACCCGAUGGACACACGGUCAAUAUUCCGUGACCGUUUUUAGAGGCUAUGGAGUGACGAACUGCUGUAUGCACUGCCGGUUAUUGGAUUCCGGUUGUUGGUAUGAGGGCGCGCGUUAGGCAAAUCCGGCGCGCACUAUCCCAAGUACUGACACAAUUUCCUCCUACGGGGGGAGAAAGAGCGCACAGCGCGGUUUCAAGAAAAUCUUCUACGCACCAACUCUAAAGACGACCGUACCGCACACCGACACAGGUGGUCAGGUCGAGAAGACUAAGACGAACGAGUAAGAUGUCCUCAAGGAACUCGGCAAAAAAGCGGCCGUAAGUUAGCGAUAAGGCCUUCCCUCACCACUUUUGAUGCUCAAAAGUGGCGAGGGACGCAGUGAAAGUUUUUCUGGCAACUGUUUACCAAAAACACAGCUCCCUGCAAACUCGUAAGAGGAAGUAUAGGGGGUGACACCUGACCAAUGCCGAAAGGUUAACCACGGUGGGUUCUUUAUAGCAAUAUAAAGAGCUGGACUGUGUAAGCCCCGGUGAAUGUCGGCGAUAACUAUAAGAUGAUUGUAGUUAAUAAAUUCGGCCAUAUGCUGGAAACCCCGAGUAUCUUCAAGUACUAGCCGCAAGGCAGUGAAAAUCUUGAAGUGCGGGCAAUCAGCAGGAAAGGCUCGCAAGCUUCAUAGAGGAAAUGUUCUUUAAGAUUAUCUCCCCUAUAGCUCAACAAUAGAGAGCAACAAGGGGAGUCCCAUCUGGCAACUCGUACACGUCAAGUGUAUGAGUUGCCUCCUCUGUGAAGCUUGUGAGAAUCCUCAGAGACUAAACGCCGAACUCAACUCUCUUAAUUGAGAACAACGAGAUGAUAUAGUCCGACCUUUGUAGCGAUACAAAGAAAUGCUUGCAGCUACCAAUAGCAAGCUAAAUAACAUAGGAGAAUCGUCCUAAGGUAGCGUAAUUCCUUGUCGGGUAAGUUCCGACGUGCACGAAUGGUGUAAUGACUGGAAAACUGUCUCGAGGACUCGCUCGGUGAAAAUGCACUUCCGGUGAAGAUGCCGGAUACCUGUAGUUAGACGAAAAGACCCCAGGAGCUUUACUACAGCUUCGUAUUGGCAUUGCGUGUUGCAUGCGUAGCAUAGAUGGGAGGAUUUGAAGCAUCGGUUUCGGCUGGUGUGGAUCCGUCAGUGAAAUACCAUUCUUGUUGUGUGCAAUGUCUAACCCCGUUGGGAUCCAACGGGGGACCGUGCGUGGCGGGUAGUUUUGGUGGGGCGCUAUCCUCCUAAAAAGUAACGGAGGAGUCUAUUAAGGUUCUCUAGGCGCGAAUGGAAACCGUGCCGAUAGUGUAAUGGCAUAAGAGAGCUUAACUGCGAGACGUACAUGUCGAGCAGAUGCGAAAGCAGAGCAUAGUGAACCGAUGGUACGCCUUAGACGCGGCCAGAGAUUAACGGAUAUAAGUUACCCUGGGGAUAACAGGCUAGUUCCGCCCAAGCGUCCAUAGCGACGGCGGAGUUCGGCACCUCGAUGUCGGCUCACCUUAGCGCGGGGGUGGAGAAGCUCCCAAGCGUUUGGCUGUUCGCCAAUUAAAAAGGUACGCGAGCUGGGUUCAGACCGUUCAGUGUCUCAUUCAAGAUGUCAUCUUGAAAUGGGGAAUUGAGCGGUCUGAAUCCACGAGGUUAGUAAGACAAAAAUCACGGCGGUUGCGCGUAGGAAUACGCGCGAAGAAAUCAACUGAUAUCGAUGAAAUCCGAUCGCGUUGUGUACGCGAGGACAACACCGAGGGAAUGGUUCGACUCCGCUCACCAUGAGCGAUAAGAAUUGACCCGUAGAGACUGAAUGUUGAUCGUCGAGAACCGACGAAGUUACAGUCCGAUCCUCCGAGUAAUCGGAGUAAACGUAGAUGCGUGAGACAGGUUGGUCUCCUAUCUACUACAGGCGUUGAUUCUUGAGGAGGGUCGUCCCUAGUAAAGAAUUGCUACUUCAGAGAGAGAUCUCUGAUGAUAAUGUGGCUUAUAACGGUGAAGUCUACGGUGCUUCUGGUUUUAGAGUUUGAUAUCUCGCGGUCCUGUUGAUAUCAAACUCGCUUGAGGACCAGAAUAGCACUAUGAUAAUACCGUGGGAAGUCGAUCAAAAAUAAAUCUAGCGUAUGUCGCAGAUUUUCUUGAUGGCGAUGGCAGUCUUAUGUUUCAGAUAAAGAAGCGUAAAGACGGAGCGUUGAAAAAACGCCUUAUGGCUACCAUAUGCUUUUAUCAAGAUACGCGACAUGAAAGAGAAUUGUAUUGGAUUCAGCAGAGGUUCGGUAUCGGCUGCAUUUCAAGAAGAAAUGACGGCAUGACUGAAUUGCGAAUCAAUGGGUAUGCGCAAGUGCGCGAUAUUCUAAAGAAGUUAAUUCCGUACAAAAGUUAUUCACCAUUUUUGGUUUGACCCCGUAACGACUCGCGCUGAAAGACGCGCGGACUCAUGUGUUGAGGAAUCGUUCCACAUAGAACGACAGCUCACAUGGGUAAGAUGCCAUCAUCCUCGUCCCGAUUAGUGGGAACGGAUGAAGAUAUAGUCUGCGCUCCUGGAAACAGGGGACGAAGCGACGAGAGGACCGGGAUGAACUGACCUCUGGUCUACCAGCUGUCCUGCCAAGGGCACCGCUGGGUAGCUAUGUCGGGUUGCGAUAACCGCUGAAAGCAUAUAAGCGGGAAACGUGCUCCAAGAUUAGGAAUCGUUAUGAGACUCCUAGGAGAUGACUAGGUUGAUAGGCUCUAGGUGGAAGCGCCGCAAGGCGUGGAGCCGAGGAGUACUAAUAUGUCCAGUCU
RNAcentral lists this ribosomal RNA (4398 nucleotides) under Candidatus Kaiserbacteria bacterium CG08_land_8_20_14_0_20_50_21. RNAcentral's name for it is "bacterial LSU rRNA". The stretch from base 1 to 3257 matches the Rfam family "Bacterial large subunit ribosomal RNA". Lineage: Bacteria; Candidatus Kaiseribacteriota. The record is from RNAcentral.